UAUCUUUUCAGAUAAUGACACGUGGCGCAAUUUUGAACGAGUUAAAAUCUGAUCAAAAUCUAUCGUCAAAGAUUCUCAAAAGAUAACGACACGUGACACGAUGACAUUGGAUAAAAAUCUUAUCGAAAUCGAUCUCCAAUAAUUAUCUUUUCGGAUAAUGACACGUGGCGCAAUUUUGAACGAGUUAAAAUCUGAUUAAAAUCUAUCGUUAAAGAUUCUCAAAAGAUAACGACACGUGGCACGAUGACAUUGGAUAAAAAUCUUAUCGAAAUCCAUCGCUAAAUAAUUGUUUUUUUUUAUAAAAUGACACGUGGCGCAACGAGAACGAUUUAAAAAAUCUUAUCCGAAAUUACAAAU
This 357-nucleotide long non-coding RNA is filed under the name Malus domestica (apple). Its description in RNAcentral is "long non-coding RNA (MDOM_LNC000891)". The record is from RNAcentral. Lineage: Eukaryota; Viridiplantae; Streptophyta; Magnoliopsida; Rosales; Rosaceae.